This is a long non-coding RNA of Zingiber officinale, 784 nucleotides long. RefSeq lists it as uncharacterized. The record is from RefSeq and is a predicted model, not a curated record. The transcript has 3 exons. NCBI's taxonomy places the organism in Eukaryota, Viridiplantae, Streptophyta, Magnoliopsida, Zingiberales, Zingiberaceae.
CCUCUCGGCGGAGAUGGGCACGGGCCAAGGUGUGGAGCAUGACGGGCGACCCUAUUGCCUCCCCAAGCACUGGAAGCGUCACACGGCCAUCGCCAUGUUCGGUCAAGCCGUGCACUGAGGAAUUUUCAAUGGAGUCCAUGAUAAUUUGAGCUGUAGCUUUCUUGCCCAAAAUUGGAGGAAUGAUCUAAUCCGCCUGCACAUGUUAUGUUCCUGAACAUACAGCUGGUUAAUUAUCUGUUGUCAGUUGGUGCGAAAGCAGGCUUGGCAAAGUAAGGAGUAAACACUGUCUCGAUGAUGAUUCUCACUAAGUUAACAAUCAACUGCAGUAAUGUCCAUUUCAUGUAAAGAUGAGAAAGAGCUGGGGUUGGGAAAUCAUCUCUCUAGUUGGUGACUUCGACAGUGAACUCACUCAUCGCAUUUGUACCCCACAUCCAACGCAUUUUAGUCCUGCAAUCCAAAAGAAUAUCGCAGCUAAUCUCUAGAGCUAGUUGCCUUCCAGGGAAGGUUGGUCUGGGGGAGGCUAACGCCGGACAACGACACCUCAGAAUUGUCCCCUACUGCGACAAUCUCAGAACAAAUACUUUCAUCACAGUUAGCUGAUAAUUUCGCCAAUGACCAUCAAGCUCAGUGUUUCUGAUAUCGUUGCCUUUUUUUAUUAAUGCUGCACAAAUCUCUUUUGUUAAAUCGUUUAGGAGAUGCUUAUUUCUUUACUGAUUACCACUGAUCUGUAUUUAAAAAAGGGAUUUUGGAUGACUGAUCAGGUCAGUGUGGAAAUUUUUUAGUA